GCUUUUGCUGCAGAAGCAGAAAUUGUUUCAGCAGCAAAAGCGUUAUAACAAAAGAUUAGCUUUUUUUGGAAAAUAAGUUUCAUCUAUCUUAUGGGUACCCUACAAGUGACUAGUUUCAAAGUUGGAUCCAAUAAAUCUCACAAUCACUUGACAAAGCAUGAUAAGAGGAUAAUACUUGAGAUGAGCAGGUCAUCACAUUAGAAAGCAAUUAUGGCAUCCCCAAUCCCCCUAGUGUCGCCUUGUUUUAGAUUCACUUUUAGAAAGUAUCAUCCCAGAAAGCUUGUUGACCUCAUACAAUAGUCCCACUGAGAACAAGAAACAUGUUG
RNAcentral lists this unclassified non-coding RNA (326 nucleotides) under Hevea brasiliensis (rubber tree). Lineage: Eukaryota; Viridiplantae; Streptophyta; Magnoliopsida; Malpighiales; Euphorbiaceae. The record is from RNAcentral.